This 551-nucleotide ribosomal RNA is filed under the name Curvularia verruculosa. RNAcentral describes it as "eukaryotic LSU rRNA". The stretch from base 184 to 337 matches the Rfam family "5.8S ribosomal RNA". Lineage: Eukaryota; Fungi; Ascomycota; Dothideomycetes; Pleosporales; Pleosporaceae. The record is from RNAcentral.
CUGCGGAGGGAUCAUUACACAAAUGAAAAUAUGAAGGCCCUUCAAACCGGCUGGAUUAUUUUUCUUCACCCUUGUCUUUUGCGCACUUGUUGUUUCCUGGGCGGGUUCGCUCGCCACCAGGACCACACCAUAAACCUUUUUGUUAAUGCAAUCAGCGUCAGUAAAAAGUAAUAAUUAUUUUACAACUUUCAACAACGGAUCUCUUGGUUCUGGCAUCGAUGAAGAACGCAGCGAAAUGCGAUACGUAGUGUGAAUUGCAGAAUUCAGUGAAUCAUCGAAUCUUUGAACGCACAUUGCGCCCUUUGGUAUUCCAAAGGGCAUGCCUGUUCGAGCGUCAUUUGUACCCUCAAGCUUUGCUUGGUGUUGGGCGUUGUUUGUCUUUGGCCUUGCCCAAAGACUCGCCUUAAAACAAUUGGCAGCCGGCCUACUGGUUUCGCAGCGCAGCACAUUUUUGCGCUUGCAAUCAGCAAAAGAGGUUGGCCAUCCAUCAAGACUACAUUUAUACGUUUGACCUCGGAUCAGGUAGGGAUACCCGCUGAACUUAAGCAUAU